RNAcentral lists this ribosomal RNA (496 nucleotides) under uncultured bacterium. RNAcentral describes it as "partial 16S ribosomal RNA". It matches the Rfam family "Bacterial small subunit ribosomal RNA", at positions 28 to 507 of the family's 1533-position model. The record is from RNAcentral.
GAUGAACGCUGGCGGCGUGCCUAAUACAUGCAAGUCGAGCGAACAGACGAGGAGCUUGCUCCUCUGACGUUAGCGGCGGACGGGUGAGUAACACGUGGAUAACCUACCUAUAAGACUGGGAUAACUUCGGGAAACCGGAGCUAAUACCGGAUAAUAUAUUGAACCGCAUGGUUCAAUAGUGAAAGACGGUUUUGCUGUCACUUAUAGAUGGAUCCGCGCCGCAUUAGCUAGUUGGUAAGGUAACGGCUUACCAAGGCGACGAUGCGUAGCCGACCUGAGAGGGUGAUCGGCAACACUGGAACGGAGACACGGUCCAGACUCCUACGGGAGGCAGCAGUAGGGAAUCUUCGGAAAUGGGCGAAAGCCUGACGGAGCAACGCGGCGGGAGGGAUGAAGGUCUUCGGAUCGUAAAACUCUGUUAUAGGGAAGAACAAAUGUGUAAGUAACUAUGCACGUCUUGACGGUACCUAAUCAGAAAGCCACGGCUAACUACGUG